GAAGAACUAACAGCAGCUCCGGACCCCGAGGCUCUGUUUCAGGCAUCUUCCAAAAUGGCCAGGGUUGUUAGUGAGUACUUUUCCCCAGAACAGGCCACAGACUUUAUCAAGGCCACAGUGGAAGGUAUGCUGUCUGCCAGCCCCACCUGUGCCACGACAGCUGGACUGUGGAUGAAGGUUAUACUGAAGGAGUGUGGAGAUGCCAUGCUGGACCAGGUGCCAGCUAUUGUGGAUAUAAUAUAUAGCCACAUGGCUACUAUCCUGGAGGGCAGCUUGA
Molecule: long non-coding RNA, 277 nt
Organism: Mauremys reevesii (Reeves's turtle)
Lineage: Eukaryota; Metazoa; Chordata; Testudines; Geoemydidae
Exons: 3
Source: RefSeq, a predicted model, not a curated record